AGCAGGCAACACAGAACUAUCUU
Molecule: non-coding RNA, 23 nt
Filed under: Cricetulus griseus (Chinese hamster)
Lineage: Eukaryota; Metazoa; Chordata; Mammalia; Rodentia; Cricetidae
Source: RNAcentral